Molecule: ribosomal RNA, 484 nt
Filed under: uncultured bacterium
Lineage: Bacteria
Description: partial 16S ribosomal RNA
Rfam family: Bacterial small subunit ribosomal RNA
Source: RNAcentral
AUUGAACGCUGGCGGCAGGCCUAACACAUGCAAGUCGAGCGGAUGAAGGGAGCUUGCUCCUGGAUUCAGCGGCGGACGGGUGAGUAAUGCCUAGGAAUCUGCCUGGUAGUGGGGGAUAACGUCCGGAAACGGGCGCUAAUACCGCAUACGUCCUGAGGGAGAAAGUGGGGGAUCUUCGGACCUCACGCUAUCAGAUGAGCCUAGGUCGGAUUAGCUAGUUGGUGGGGUAAAGGCCUACCAAGGCGACGAUCCGUAACUGGUCUGAGAGGAUGAUCAGUCACAAGGGAAUGGAGAAACGGGUCAGGAUUCUAAGGGAGGCAGGAGUGGGGAAUAGUGGAACAGGGGGGAAAAGCUGAUACAGGCAGGACGCGUGGUGGAAGGAGGUCUUGGGAUUGGAAAAGACCUUAAGGUUGGAAGAAGGGCAGGAAGGUAAUAACUUGCUGUUUUGACGGUACCAAAAGAAGAAGCACCGGCUAACUUCGUG